Molecule: unclassified non-coding RNA, 2488 nt
Filed under: Hevea brasiliensis (rubber tree)
Lineage: Eukaryota; Viridiplantae; Streptophyta; Magnoliopsida; Malpighiales; Euphorbiaceae
Source: RNAcentral
GUAGCUUUAAAUGUAUUAUUUCCAUAAACCUUUACUCACUUUCAUUACAUUUUCUAAGCAUAUGGAAAGUCUCUUAGAGAUGCAGCGUGUGUGAAGAAUGUUACUAGCGUCUACGGCGACUGCAGGACCUUCAGCCGAAUUCCAUGAAUUUUGUGAUCAAAGAAAUUAUCAUUCACUUGCGGAUAACAGAGAGUUUUUAUGAUUUUUGGAAUCCCAGACUGUUAAGGUGACUAGAUUCAAGUGUGCAUGAUCUGGGAAGUAAAGGUUAAGGCCUGUGUCCACUGGCUGCUUAUAUGAUAAAUUGAACAAGACGAUGACAAACAUGGUUGCUUUAUGCACAAAGCCCUCGAAAAGCAGUAUCUUCCUUCAUCUAACCUGAUAAUUUCUGGUGGAGUACCAAUCCAGAAUCAUAAGCAGUCUAACAAACUAACUGCUUGCAUGAUCACAGUGUCACUUGUCCCCAUAUUAAAACUUAAAUACAACAUUGAAAAAAUAGGUAUAUGAAUAUUCUAAGCGUAACGCCUAAAAGGUAGUAAGCUUUAGCAUCACAACUAAUUCAUGUAAUGAUAGAAGUGAACAGCAGCUGGAUAGAACAUAAAACUUAAACCAAAAAUCAGCACCGAAUCCCUAGCCACCUUUGAUUCUUCACUGCCUUGAUCUUGACUCUGCUCUUCUAGCUUCAUCAGGUGUUGAAGGAAACAACUCAACAUACCUUGAACCAAUUGUCAUCUUAUCUUUGCUCAUGGCCCUUUUAGCUUCCUCAACAGAAACAAACUCCACAUAUGCCUCUCCAGUAGCUUUCCCGUCUGGGCGACACGCAAUGUGUAUCCUCUCUUCAACCAGUUUGAAUUCUUUAAAAAAUUCAAUUAUUUCAGGUUUUUUAACAGAAAAUGGGAGCCCCCGCAUCUUCAAAAUCUCAGUGUAUUCCAAUUGAUCCUUAUCACUGAACCUCUUUGCUUUAGAUGGUGGAGGACUUCCAUGAUAAUCAGUGUCAUAGAUCCCUUCAUAAUUCACCUCUGCAGCAACAGCAUUGUAAUAAUCCUGCCUCUUGCACCUAAAAACUUCCACAUACCUACGCCCCAUGUUCUGUCGAUCUCUCUGUAAAGCAAACUCAACCUGCAUGGACCCUGCAAAGACGACAAAGGCCUCUCCUGAGAACCGUCCAUUCUUAUUGACCAACAGCACAUCCACAAUGUCCAGUCCAGCAAAGAACUUGAUGAUGUCUAUAUCAGUGCAGUUGAAAGGAAGCCCCCUCAGACGAACCACAGGAAAGGCAGGGGGCUGAAAUCCACCACCAUAGCUGUAGGGUUGAAAGCCACUAGGACCACUGCUCACUGCGAAGUAGGGAUUUGAUUCCAUCAUUCUUUGUCUCUUUGAGCCGACCUCGUACCCAUCCGAAACCCCCCCGCUUCCCAACAUUGCCCUUCAUUUAUCCAUACCCAAAAGAAAGAAAAAUCCCCACUCAACCUGUUAAUAAAACCAAACCCAACCCAAGCUUCCCUGACACCUAAUAUUCCUAUAGUUUUUUUUUAAAACGAGGAGGCAUAAUAUUUAAAACCCUCCUAAAAGAAACUACAGAAAAACCACAAAUGCAAAGCAAGACAAUAGCACAUAAUCACCAAUGGCAAUAACAAAGUGUCUAACAAACGAAUGUAAUGAGAAAGGAUCAGCAAAUAAUGUAUCACGUAUAUAUCAGAUGUGUGAUUACUUCUGCAGACUUAUUUUUUAUCCAUCAGAAAUCAAAGAUACAUAACCAAUAACAUUAGUGUCAUGCCAUAUAUGAGAUUCCUCGUAUACAUACUGAUUCCAUAAUAACCAUUAACACUACAAGGCACAAGUAAAAAGUAUUUCAACACUAAAUCAGAUUAUAGUUGACAGGGAACCAUGGUACCAAGUAUUAAAAUAAUAAUUAAAAAAAAAAAGAUAGAAAGCAAUGUCCAAAUCAAUCACCCUAAUAUAAUUUCUCAUGGAGGAUAUGCUUCGCCCUACAAGAAAACAAAACAUACUGCUUUUUCAUUCAUUCACACAUGUAAAUCAUAUCAAAGUGGUUUCAAAUGGUUUUCUUUAUGACUACUACAAUUGUGAACCUUAGAUGCUUAGAACAAUUUGCUGCCCUCAAAAACAGUUAAUCACUGAUUUGUAUAAAAACACAAGUUUGUCAAACUGUCUUGCAAAACAGAUUUCAUAAGAACAUAAAUAAAAAUCUGACACUAAUACCCAUUUUAGAGAAUAGCAAAAUGAUCAUCUCUAGAUUUUGUUGACCGCUAUAAGGUUUUUCAAAGAAAAAUAAAUAAAUUAUCUCAAAAGUUGCAAAUUUUGAUUGAUUUUGAGUAUUCCUGCGCUGUAAUAUUUGGGAAAAAUACAUAUUGGAGAAAUUUCAGUUUUUAUUUUUUCAAAUUCAUUGACCUUAGAAUAUGUACAAAUAAUGGAAUCCAUCUAGGAAAUUUCAAAUCGUGUCUUCAAAUUGUACGAUUUACUUUCCCAUGUA